Molecule: ribosomal RNA, 1839 nt
Filed under: Ropalodontus perforatus
Lineage: Eukaryota; Metazoa; Arthropoda; Insecta; Coleoptera; Ciidae
Description: SSU rRNA
Rfam family: Eukaryotic small subunit ribosomal RNA
Source: RNAcentral
UUGUCUCAAAGAUUAAGCCAUGCAUGUCUCAGUACAAGCCAAAAUAAGGUGAAACCGCGAAAGGCUCAUUAAAUCAGUUAUGGUUCCUUAGAUCGUACCCACACUUACUUGGAUAACUGUGGUAAUUCUAGAGCUAAUACAUGCAAACAGAGCUCCGACCGGAGACGGAAGGAGCGCUUUUAUUAGAUCAAAACCGAUCGGUGGUGGAUCCGUCUGCCAUCGUACAAUUUGGUGAAUCUGAAUAACUUUAAGCUGAUCGCACGGUCUCGCACCGGCGACGCAUCUUUCAAAUGUCUGCCUUAUCAACUGUCGAUGGUAGGUUCUGCGCCUACCAUGGUUGUAACGGGUAACGGGGAAUCAGGGUUCGAUUCCGGAGAGGGAGCCUGAGAAACGGCUACCACAUCCAAGGAAGGCAGCAGGCGCGCAAAUUACCCACUCCCGGCACGGGGAGGUAGUGACGAAAAAUAACGAUACGGGACUCAUCCGAGGCCCCGUAAUCGGAAUGAGUACACUCUAAACCCUUUAACGAGGAUCAAUUGGAGGGCAAGUCUGGUGCCAGCAGCCGCGGUAAUUCCAGCUCCAAUAGCGUAUAUUAAAGUUGUUGCGGUUAAAAAGCUCGUAGUCGAAUUUGUGUCUCGCACCGCCGGUUCAUCGUUCGCGGUGUUAACUGGCGUGCCGCGGGACGUCCUGCCGGUGGGCUUAGCUCGAGAGGGCGGCCCAAAUCAAUCCUGCCGCGGUGCUCUUCAUUGAGUGUCGAGGUGGGCCGGCACGUUUACUUUGAACAAAUUAGAGUGCUUAAAGCAGGCUAAAAUUUCGCCUGAAUACUGUGUGCAUGGAAUAAUGGAAUAGGACCUCGGUUCUAUUUUGUUGGUUUUCGGAACCCCGAGGUAAUGAUUAAUAGGAACGGAUGGGGGCAUUCGUAUUGCGACGUUAGAGGUGAAAUUCUUGGAUCGUCGCAAGACGGACAGAAGCGAAAGCAUUUGCCAAAAACGCUUUCAUUGAUCAAGAACGAAAGUUAGAGGUUCGAAGGCGAUCAGAUACCGCCCUAGUUCUAACCAUAAACGAUGCCAGCUAGCGAUCCGCCGACGUUCCUCCGAUGACUCGGCGGGCAGCUUCCGGGAAACCAAAGCUUUUGGGUUCCGGGGGAAGUAUGGUUGCAAAGCUGAAACUUAAAGGAAUUGACGGAAGGGCACCACCAGGAGUGGAGCCUGCGGCUUAAUUUGACUCAACACGGGAAACCUCACCAGGCCCGGACACCGGAAGGAUUGACAGAUUGAGAGCUCUUUCUUGAUUCGGUGGGUGGUGGUGCAUGGCCGUUCUUAGUUGGUGGAGCGAUUUGUCUGGUUAAUUCCGAUAACGAACGAGACUCUAGCCUGCUAAAUAGGCGUAUUUCGACAUCCCAAAGGCCCGCCGGUAUCCGGGUUAACCCCCGUUUAUUGUGCGCGGUUUUUACUGUCGGCGUACAAACAAUUCUUCUUAGAGGGACAGGCGGCGUUUAGCCGCACGAGAUUGAGCAAUAACAGGUCUGUGAUGCCCUUAGAUGUUCUGGGCCGCACGCGCGCUACACUGAAGGAAUCAGCGUGUCCUCCCUGUCCGAGCGGACCGGGUAACCCGCUGAACCUCCUUCGUGCUAGGGAUUGGGGCUUGCAAUUGUUCCCCAUGAACGAGGAAUUCCCAGUAAGCGCGAGUCAUAAGCUCGCGUUGAUUACGUCCCUGCCCUUUGUACACACCGCCCGUCGCUACUACCGAUUGAAUGAUUUAGUGAGGUCUUCGGACCGGUACGCGGUGGCGUCAUCGCGUCGCCGAUGUUGCUGGGAAGAUGACCAAACUUGAUCAUUU